AACGAACGCUGGCGGCAUGCUUAACACAUGCAAGUCGAACGGAAACGCCCUGCUUUUUUGCGCUGCUCGAGUGGCGGACGGGUGAGUAACACGUGAGUAACGUACCCUAGUUUUUGGGAUCAGUUAAGGCCGGUGGGCUUACUCCAGCAUCGGAUCUCUCGCUCCAGGGUGGGCCUGGGAACGUUUGGGCGGUUGGGGAUGGACUCGCGGAUUAUCGGCUUGUUGGUGGGCUAGUGGAAUACCAAGGGAUUGACGGGUAGCUGGCCUGAGAGGGCGACCGGACACAAUAGGACUGAGAUAGGACCCAGACUCGUAUGGGAGGCAACAGUGGGGAAUAUUACACAAGGGGAGGGAGCCUGAUGCGACAACGCCGCGUGUGGUAAGACGUCCUGUGGGUUGUAAACCGCAGCCGCCUGAGACGAAGCGUUAGUGACGGUAAUGGGUAAAGAAGCACCGGCUAACUACGUG
Molecule: ribosomal RNA, 468 nt
Filed under: uncultured bacterium
Lineage: Bacteria
Description: partial 16S ribosomal RNA
Rfam family: Bacterial small subunit ribosomal RNA
Source: RNAcentral